RNAcentral lists this ribosomal RNA (440 nucleotides) under uncultured bacterium. Its description in RNAcentral is "partial 16S ribosomal RNA". It matches the Rfam family "Bacterial small subunit ribosomal RNA", at positions 338 to 795 of the family's 1533-position model. The record is from RNAcentral.
CCUACGGGGUGCAGCAGUGGGGAAUAUUGCACAAUGGGGGAAACCCUGAUGCAGCGACGCCGCGUGAGUGAAGAAGUAUCUCGGUACGUAAAGCUCUAUCAGCAGAGAAGAAAAAGACGGUACCUGACUAAGAAGCCCCGGAUAACUACGUGCCAGCAGCCGCUGGAAUACGUCGGGUGCAAGCGUUAUCCGGAUUUACUGGGUGUAAAGGGAGCGUAGACGGCAGCACAAGUCUGGUGUGAAAUCCCAGGGCUUAACCCCGGAACUGCUUUGGAAACUGUGCGGCGUGAGGGCAGGAGGGGUAAGCGGAAUUCCUAGUGUAGCGGUGAAAUGCGUAGAUAUUAGGAGGAACACCGGUGGCGAAGGCGGCUUACUGGACUGUAACUGACGCUGAGGCUCGAAAGCGUGGGGAGCAAACAGGAUUAGAUACCCUUGUAGUC